GACGAACGCUGGCGGCGUGCUUAUCACAUGCAAGUCGAACGGAAAGGCCCUGCUUUUGUGGGGUGCUCGAGUGGCGAACGGGUGAGUAACACGUGAGUAACCUGCCCUUGACUUUGGGAUAACUUCAGGAAACUGGGGCUAAUACCGGAUAGGAGCUCCUGCUGCAUGGUGGGGGUUGGAAAGUUUCGGCGGUUGGGGAUGGACUCGCGGCUUAUCAGCUUGUUGGUGGGGUAGUGGCUUACCAAGGCUUUGACGGGUAGCCGGCCUGAGAGGGUGACCGGCCACAUUGGGACUGAGAUACGGCCCAGACUCCUACGGGAGGCAGCAGUGGGGAAUAUUGCACAAUGGGCGGAAGCCUGAUGCAGCAACGCCGCGUGCGGGAUGACGGCCUUCGGGUUGUAAACCGCUUUCGCCUGUGACGAAGCGUGAGUGACGGUAAUGGGGAAAGAAGCACCGGCUAACUACGU
This 467-nucleotide ribosomal RNA is filed under the name uncultured bacterium. RNAcentral's name for it is "partial 16S ribosomal RNA". It matches the Rfam family "Bacterial small subunit ribosomal RNA", at positions 28 to 506 of the family's 1533-position model. The record is from RNAcentral.